AGCGAACGCUGGCGGCAGGCUUAACACAUGCAAGUCGAGCGGGCACUUUCGGGUGUCAGCGGCGGACGGGUGAGUAACGCGUGGGAACGUGCCCUCUGGUUCGGAAUAACUCAGGGAAACUUGAGCUAAUACCGGAUACGCCCUUUUGGGGAAAGGCUUGCUGCCGGAGGAUCGGCCCGCGUCUGAUUAGCUAGUUGGUGAGGUAACGGCUCACCAAGGCGACGAUCAGUAGCUGGUCUGAGAGGAUGAUCAGCCACACUGGGACUGAGACACGGCCCAGACCCCUAGGGGGGGCGGGAGGGGGGAAUAUUGGAAAGUGGGCGAAAGCCGGACCCAGCCAUGCCGGGUGAGUGAUGAAGGCCUUGGGGUUGAAAAGCUCUUUUACCCGGGACGAUAAUGACGGUACCGGAGAAAUAAGCCCCGGCUAACUUCGU
RNAcentral lists this ribosomal RNA (434 nucleotides) under uncultured bacterium. RNAcentral describes it as "partial 16S ribosomal RNA". It matches the Rfam family "Bacterial small subunit ribosomal RNA", at positions 30 to 506 of the family's 1533-position model. The record is from RNAcentral.